This 405-nucleotide ribosomal RNA is filed under the name uncultured bacterium. RNAcentral's name for it is "bacterial SSU rRNA". It matches the Rfam family "Bacterial small subunit ribosomal RNA", at positions 992 to 1392 of the family's 1533-position model. The record is from RNAcentral.
AGAACUUUCUAGAGAUAGAUUGGUGUCUGCUUGCAGAAACUUAUAUACAGGUGCUGCACGGCUGUCGUCAGCUCGUGUCGUGAGAUGUUGGGGUUAAGUCCCGCAACGAGCGCAACCCUCGUGUUUAGUUGCUAACAGUUCGGCUGAGAACUCUAAACAGACUGCCUACGCAAGUAGGAGGAAGGUGAGGACGACGUCAAGUCAUCAUGGCCCUUACGUCCAGGGCUACACACGUGCUACAAUGGGAUAUACAAAGAGCGGCAAUACGGUGACGUGGAGCAAAUCUUAUAAAAUAUCUCCCAGUUCGGAUUGUAGUCUGCAACUCGACUACAUGAAGUUGGAAUCGCUAGUAAUCGUAGAUCAGCUAUGCUACGGUGAAUACGUUCCCGGGUCUUGUACUCACCG